UUUUCUAAAAAAAAAAAAAAAAAAAAAAAAAACUCUUAAGUUUCACAUUUGCCAGAAUGACACACGAUUAUUACGUCAAAAUUCAGGUAUGGUGGUUUAGACUUGCACCAACUGUUUUAUAUAUUGAUAUUGUCAUCUAUAUUUCUCCCUCCAGGAUGUGAAAGCCAUGUUCAGGUGAAAAACGUGCGGUAUGUAUAAAUAUUCAGCCAAGUUCGACAGACAUAGGGAAAUUAAAUACAUGUAGCAUCAGUUGUGGGGGUCUGUAGACAAUCUGUUUCGAGGCUACAUAGCCGUAGCGUAUCCUCUUUUUCAAAUAUACAUUCAAUUAUGGGCUGGUAAUCCUUAUCCAUCAUAUUAUAGGUCCUUCAAUUUCCUGUUUUGAUUUAAUUUAAUUGCGCUCGACUUGAACACGCUUACAAUACUAAUAUUUUUUAUUUGCAUGUUUUGGUGGGAAGUUAAUGUUACUCUAGAAUCUGUCAGUUAAAUGACCAUUUUUAGAUAACGAUUUGAAUUCUAUGAUAAAGUUUUAAUUUAAGAGCAUACAAUCUAUUGCAGGAUUAUGGCCACUAAUUGGAAUGUUUGUGGUGUUUGUGAAAAUCUUCAGAUUACCAAACCUUCAGUAGUAUGGUGUUCCGAAUGUGACGAAGGACUAUGUGGAGAGUGUAAGAAACAUCAUGCAGUUUCUAAGGGAACAAAAAGCCAUGAAACCGUUUCUAUCGCCGAAUACAAAAACUUACCCACCGAAGUCCUGCAAAUCUCUCAGACCUGCAAACUUCAUAAUGAGAAAUACGAGCUGUUCUGUACAAAACACGAUUGUCCAUGCUGUAAAAAAUGUGUGAAAUCUCACAACGAUUGUAAAGGUUUAACUGACAUUAAUGAACUCAUAAAAAACGUCAAAACUUCAAACGCAUUAAAUGAAAUCGAACAAACCAGUGCAGGAAGUCGUCGAGAAUAUUAAACGACUAAGCACGAACAGGAAUGAAAAUUUAAAAUCUAUAGAAAACAAGAAAAGAGAAAUUGAAGCAGAAAUAAAACAAACCAGGAUACAAGUAAAUCACCACCUUGAUAAACUUCAGGAUGACUUAAUUAAAGAAUUACUGAGAGAGUUGAACAACACGAAAAAAGCAUAAUAGAAAACUUGCUGACUACUCUGAAAAAAAAGGAAAAAGAGAUGACUGAAGUACAAGAAAACUUUGUCACUAUUAAACAACAUGCGUCCGAACUUCAAACAUUUUUAACCAUGAAAGAUAUCGAAAAAUAUAUUGUAGGUGACGAAAAGUGUAUUCAAUCGAUUACUACGAGUGACUCCACACAUCAAGUCAAUAUUUCAUGUCAGAUUAAUAAGUCUUUACAGCAAAUAACAGCCAACGUGCAGAAGUUUGGAGAAAUUAUUGUCAAUGCUGAUCCAUGUGAUUUUUCCGUUCAGAAAAGGAAGGACAGACAAGCCCAGAUUAUGGUAGCUCUUCCAACCAAAAAUAUCGAUAACCUGACUCUGACAUUACAGAAUCGUAUCGAUACAAAGUUGUCAGGUGUCUGUGGCUGUUCACUGCUUCCUGAUUGUAGAAUGGUAUUCUCCUCUUUUAAUGACGAUAAAAUAAGAGUAUUUAAGUCUGACGGAUCAAAAGAUUUCGAAAUAAAGGACAUUGGUAAAACGUAUGAUGUGGUAUUUAUUGGUGAUGAUUCUAUUGCUGUUACAUUCGGCGAGUCAAAAAAGAUUAAUAUAAUCGACUUAAAGACCCACAAACUGAAGAAAUCGAUAAAAGUUGAUUCAUACACUGGUGGAGUAACAUACAAAAAUGGACAUUUAAUAUAUUGUGCCAGAGAAAAAGGAAUACAGAUGCUCAGUUUAAAUAACGGAACCAUUACCAAUGUGAGCAGUACCAAACUCCCACACUACGCGUACGUAACAACAUUCGGUGAAAAACUGAUCUACACAAAUAUGAACAAUAACAGUGUAACCUGCUGUGACUACCAUGGUAACAUACUGUGGAAUUUCUGUGAUACAAGUGCUCUUCCAUUUCCAGUGGGUAUAUCUGUAGACAAUGAUGGUAACGUGUAUGUAGCGGGGUAUUCUACUUACAACGUUGUCGUUAUCUCUCCUGAUGGACAGCGCUGCAGACAAAUUCUCACACGUGAAGAUGAUUUUAGCGAGCCAUGGACUCUGCAUUAUGACACAUCGACCAAUGAAUUGUUAGUUGCUAAUGAAUCCAAUGAAGCAUUUUUGUAUGAUGUUAAAUGAUUAGAAAUGAGGAGUGCUUUUUCCAGAAUUCAAUUUUUUUUUUGUUGAUCUCGAUUACUAACAUCCUUUAAAAGGAAUAAUACUAAUUUUGUGUGAUCUAAUUUAGAUUUGUUUAAAGUUAUUUUUUAGUGUUACUAACUGGCUGCUUCUGUUUCUGUUUUGGCCCCAUCAUAGAUUCGAGUUUAUUUGUAUUGAACCCGAAUCCUGAAGACAGCUUAUCGAGAAUCUAGAGACAAAUAUUAGAG
This 2484-nucleotide long non-coding RNA is filed under the name Mytilus galloprovincialis (Mediterranean mussel). Lineage: Eukaryota; Metazoa; Mollusca; Bivalvia; Mytilida; Mytilidae. The record is from RNAcentral.